AGCGAACGCUGGCGGCGUGCCUAACACAUGCAAGUCGAACGUGAAAAGGGAAACCUGAGUAAAGUGGCGUACGGGUGAGUAACGCGUAGGUAAUCUACCCCAGAAUCUGGAAUAACCUGCCGAAAGGCGGGCUAAUACUGGAUAGAGCGAGGGAACUCGUAAGAGAGUUUUUCGGGAAAGGGAGCCCGCAAGGGCCUUCGUUCUGGGAUGAGCCUGCGUCUCAUUAGCUAGUUGGUAAGGUAACGGCUUACCAAGGCGAUGAUGAGUAGCUGGUCUGAGAGGAUGAUCAGCCACACUGGAAGUGAAACACGGGCCAGACGCCUACGGGAGGCAGCAGGGGGGAUUCGUGCGCAAUGGACGAAAGUCUGACGCAGAGAGGCGGCGUGAGGGAAGAAGGCCUUCGGGUUGUAAAGCUCUGUCGGAUGGGACGAACAUCUUCAUAGGGAAGAGCUAUGAGGACUGACGGUACCAUCAAAGGAAGCACCGGCUAGCUCCGUG
Molecule: ribosomal RNA, 498 nt
Filed under: uncultured bacterium
Lineage: Bacteria
Description: partial 16S ribosomal RNA
Rfam family: Bacterial small subunit ribosomal RNA
Source: RNAcentral